AGACCCGAAACCCGGUGAUCUAGCCAUGGGCAGGUUGAAGGUUGGGUAACACUAACUGGAGGACCGAACCGACUAAUGUUGAAAAAUUAGCGGAUGACCUGUGGCUGGGGGUGAAAGGCCAAUCAAACCGGGAGAUAGCUGGUUCUCCCCGAAAGCUAUUUAGGUAGCGCCUCGUGAAUUCAUCUCCGGGGGUAGAGCACUGUUUCGGCUAGGGGGCCAUCCCGGCUUACCAACCCGAUGCAAACUGCGAAUACCGGAGAAUGCUAUCACGGGAGACACACGGCGGGUGCUAACGUCCGUCGUGAAGAGGGAAACAACCCAGACCGCCAGCUAAGGUCCCAAAGUCAUGGUUAAGUGGGAAACGAUGUGGGAAGGCCCAGACAGCCAGGAUGUUGGCUUAGAAGCAGCCAUCAUUUAAAGAAAGCGUAAUAGCUCACUGGUCGAGUCGGCCUGCGCGGAAGAUGUAACGGGGCUAAACCAUGCACCGAAGCUGCGGCAGCGAACGUAUCACCCAAGACAACUUUACGGAGUUGACGAUUGACGGAGCGAAGCGACGUCAAAGCGUUCAUUAAAGUCGAGUUGGCUUAGGGAUACGUUCGUUGGGUAGGGGAGCGUUCUGUAAGCCGUUGAAGGUGGCCUGUGAGGG
RNAcentral lists this ribosomal RNA (646 nucleotides) under Salmonella enterica subsp. enterica serovar Stanley. Its description in RNAcentral is "partial 23S ribosomal RNA". It matches the Rfam family "Bacterial large subunit ribosomal RNA", at positions 711 to 1269 of the family's 2925-position model. The record is from RNAcentral. Lineage: Bacteria; Pseudomonadati; Pseudomonadota; Gammaproteobacteria; Enterobacterales; Enterobacteriaceae.